RNAcentral lists this ribosomal RNA (105 nucleotides) under Ovis aries (sheep). The record is from RNAcentral. Lineage: Eukaryota; Metazoa; Chordata; Mammalia; Artiodactyla; Bovidae.
GUCUAUGGCCAUACCACCCCGAACACUCCCGAUCUCAUCUGAUCUUGGAAACUAAGCAGGGUCCGGCCUGGCUAGUACUUGGGUGGGAGAAAAGUGCUAAUUUCU